RNAcentral lists this ribosomal RNA (423 nucleotides) under Triticum aestivum (bread wheat). RNAcentral's name for it is "partial small subunit ribosomal RNA". The record is from RNAcentral. Lineage: Eukaryota; Viridiplantae; Streptophyta; Magnoliopsida; Poales; Poaceae.
AUGCAGAGCAAGCAGCGGGGGGUGGGAUCAACACAGGUCAUGCAGAGCAAGCAGCGGGGGGUGGGAUCGCGCGUACGGCGUACAUACCUAAACGCAGCUGUAGACACCAUGGCCACCUGGAUGACUCGGGUGAAGGGAGGACGAAGCGGAUCGUGGUGGGGGCUGCCGCUCCAAGUUGUGCUCGGCGGCGCACCAGAGGGGGAGUUAGGAGAAGAGGAGAUAAGGCACGGGGAGGGAUGGAGGUUUCCGCUUGACGGCGGGCAUCACCAGUGUCGCCGGCUUGUCGCCGCCGCCGGUGCGGUCGCUUCGAUGCGCCUCGAAUCGGGACGGGAUUUUUUUUCUUUAGGCAACCGAAUCGGGACCGAAAGGAUUGGACGCGGUCGCUCCUCUGUAUGCCUCGCAAACCCAGCAGACCUCCUUUAG